Molecule: long non-coding RNA, 204 nt
Filed under: Elaeis guineensis (African oil palm)
Lineage: Eukaryota; Viridiplantae; Streptophyta; Magnoliopsida; Arecales; Arecaceae
Description: long non-coding RNA (EGUI_LNC058960)
Source: RNAcentral
GUAUAAGUGUCCCACCGACUUGAGAUCACCACGGUGACUUAUAAGCAACUCACUAUGCUUUGGUGCCAGACUACCUAAAUUUUGAAUUCAAGAUCAGAAGAUUUUUUGACACAGUCAAGUACUUGUGAAGUCGGUGCGUGAGUCAAGAUGGAAUUGACCACUCCAAGAGAUUGGAGAGAAUGCUUUGUGUUUCAAUUUAGUAAG